UUUCUUGUUUCCAUUUUAAUUUUUCCCGGUAACCAAGCAGGGGUAAAGGAGCUAGUUCGGCCAGAAAACUAAAAAACAGGGAAGCUAGAAAAUGGAGAAAAAUGAACGAAAACUCGUUUCGAUGAAGAAUUAGCGAUGGAUCAUAGAUCUGUUGAACCAAUUCCAAGCUAUGUCGGAAUCUGAUCCUCUCAUGCUCUAUGGUUUCAUCGUUGUUUCCUUUCCCUUCAUUUGAUGCGGCAGUUGAUAACUUUUGAUGGUAUUUGGUGCCGUUCUGAGCAGAAAACCAGCUAGGGUAAUGAAAUCAAUAUCUUUUUGGACAAUGAAUUAUGUCUCCUGGAUUUCGUAGAGCAAGCAAUGUCUUCAGCAGUUUACUUUUUAUGGUUGAUGAAGGUAAUUGUAACAAAAUUGCUUAAAUUAUAUGGAGAUUGAACUGUAAGUGAAGCUGAAAUUUGGAAAUUUGAAGACCAUAUAUCACAUAAGACAUCUUCAGAAGAUCUUUCCUUUGGGAUUUUUCAGACCUCGGAAGCUUUUAAUGAACAUAUACAUCCGAAUUAGUUCAUCUUUGUUAAAUAUUAACUAUUUCAUAACGUAUCUCCAUGACUAUUUUAUGUGGCUUUCGUUAAAUUAUAUGUUCAAAUUGGAUUGAGGUACUGAAAAGUAGUCUCUAAUUGCACUUUUUCCAAUGUUUGGGGAGUAUUUUAUUGACAAGAAGGUGACAAAUAAUGUUAUGGUGAUUGUAACUUCCAAGGAUGCAUCGUCAUGUUUUCAAGCUUUUGUGGAGAUCAGGAUACCCUGAGGAUAAGACAUUGGAAUGAAGAGUUUGAGUAACAUAGGAAGCAACCGCUGGCAAAACUGGAGUUUGCUGAUUGGGUCCAGAACAUAUGAUUUGGGAGUUUAUAGUCUCCUUUUAAAUAGAAACGUUAUCUUCCCAUUCCUUUUAAUGGCCUACCAAAUUGAAGCCAUGGAAUAUUAGCCAGUUCUUUAGAAAUAAUAUGAUUGCUUUCGUUGUCGAGUGGAGCCACUCAUCUCAUUCACCAUUCCUCACUGUAAUAUAAUGCAGUAAAUGUAAAGGCAUGUAGUAACAAAUGUUGUCGAGUGGGCUUCUCUUUGCUUGAGAUUAGCUCAAGUAAUCGAUGUUGGAAUUUUUUUUAAUGAAAACUGACAUUCUUAUUUCAGAGAGCAA
Gossypium arboreum is the source of this 1183-nucleotide long non-coding RNA. RefSeq lists it as uncharacterized. The transcript is spliced from 4 exons. Lineage: Eukaryota; Viridiplantae; Streptophyta; Magnoliopsida; Malvales; Malvaceae. The record is from RefSeq and is a predicted model, not a curated record.